Molecule: long non-coding RNA, 447 nt
Organism: Pseudophryne corroboree (corroboree frog)
Lineage: Eukaryota; Metazoa; Chordata; Amphibia; Anura; Myobatrachidae
Exons: 3
Source: RefSeq, a predicted model, not a curated record
CAGCUCUUCGGCCCCUCAGGUUGCUCCGGUGCAGGACGGAUCCGGGAGGCGCGGAGACGCGGACCCAUCUCCGGCAGAUGCCAGUACUUCGUUUCCUGGUCUCUCGCAGGUGGCUGAGAUGGCCGACCCCCCUGGCCCUUCAGGUUCUGAAUCCGCAAAUUGCAAAAGGGAAACAAAUCUUUGAAAUGAGCUAAGUUUGAUGUUGGAUACGUCGUCCGUCCCUAGGGUGCAUGAAACUGAAUAAUGGAUCACGGGACAUCAAAAACAACAUUGGACAUCAAAGUAAAUAAGACCAAAGGCCGAAACAGACAGGGUCAAGAGAUGAAAAAAGUGUCUAAAAAUCACACAAAAAAAGGGUAGCAAGAAAAUGUUAGAAGAGCAAUAUUCUACAUUUUCAGCAUAAAAAUAGUGGGAUGCUCUUCAUAAAGUUAGGAUUUAGAUCAUAUU